This 262-nucleotide ribosomal RNA is filed under the name uncultured bacterium. RNAcentral describes it as "partial 16S ribosomal RNA". It matches the Rfam family "Bacterial small subunit ribosomal RNA", at positions 92 to 354 of the family's 1533-position model. The record is from RNAcentral.
UGAGUGGCGGACGGGUGAGUAACGCGUGGGGCAACCUGGCCUGUACAGGGGGAUAACACUUAGAAAUAGGUGCUAAUACCGCAUAACGGGGGAAGCCGCAUGGCUUUUCCCUGAAAACUCCGGUGGUACAGGAUGGGCCCGCGUCUGAUUAGCCAGUUGGUAGGGUAACGGCCUACCAAAGCGACGAUCAGUAGCCGGCCUGAGAGGGCGGACGGCCACACUGGGACUGAGACACGGCCCAGACUCCUACGGAAGGCAGCAG